UUCGUAGUGAACUGCGGAAGGAUCAUUGUCGAAACCUGCCCAGCAGAACGACCCGCGAACGAGUGAAAAAAAAUACCGGCGGUGCGGGGGUGCGUCAGCUCCCCGCUCGCCGCGUCGCGGGCGGUGCGGUCGGCUUCUCGUACGCGAGCGUCGUUCCGUCCCGCCCCGCGGCACAACAACGAACCCCGGCGCGGACCGCGCCAAGGAAAUUCUAACGAGAGAGCUCGCUCCCGUCGCCCCGGAGACGGAGCGCGAUCGGGCAGCGGCGCCUUCUUUCACAAUCCAAAACGACUCUCGGCAACGGAUAUCUAGGCUCUCGCAUCGAUGAAGAACGUAGCGAAAUGCGAUACUUGGUGUGAAUUGCAGAAUCCCGUGAACCAUCGAGUCUUUGAACGCAAGUUGCGCCCCAAGCCUUUAGGCCGAGGGCACGUCUGCCUGGGUGUCACGCAUCGUCGCCCCCCCCAAACCCCCCGAACCCCGGGGGGGAACGCGGGCGGGGCGGAGAAUGGCCUCCCGUGCGCCGCUCGGCUCGCGGUUGGCCCAAAUCCGAGUCCCCGGCUUCGCGUGCCGCGACUUUCGGUGGUCGAAACGAACCUCGAUGUCCCGUCGCGCCCGCGUCGUCGUAGCACGGACUCACGGACCCUGACGCGUCGCCGCCUGGCGACGCUCGCUUCGCGA
RNAcentral lists this ribosomal RNA (678 nucleotides) under Protium aidanianum. Its description in RNAcentral is "eukaryotic LSU rRNA". The stretch from base 290 to 445 matches the Rfam family "5.8S ribosomal RNA". Lineage: Eukaryota; Viridiplantae; Streptophyta; Magnoliopsida; Sapindales; Burseraceae. The record is from RNAcentral.